Molecule: unclassified non-coding RNA, 229 nt
Filed under: Hevea brasiliensis (rubber tree)
Lineage: Eukaryota; Viridiplantae; Streptophyta; Magnoliopsida; Malpighiales; Euphorbiaceae
Source: RNAcentral
AAAAAAUGUGGUUCUUAUCAUCACCCUGUAUACUAUUCACUCCCCAACCUCAAUUUUUUUUUUCUCUCUUUAUUUUUCUUUGUAACUUAUGCUUUUCCAUUUUUGUAAUUUAAUUAAUUAAUGUGAAAGCAUCCAUGUUUCUUCCAUGUUAUAGCCAAUUCGACCCAAUAGUUGAAGGACGUCCUGGCACCUGCAACUGCAAAUGUAUAAUAAUUCUGAUAAAGAAGGG